UACGGAGGAUGCAAGCGUUAUCCGGAAUGAUUGGGCGUAAAGCGUCCGCAGGUGGCUAUGUAAGUCUGCUGUUAAAGAGUGAGGCUCAACCUCAUAAAAGCAGUGGAAACUACAUGGCUAGAGUGCGUUCGGGGCAGAGGGAAUUCCUGGUGUAGCGGUGAAAUGCGUAGAUAUCAAGUGGAACACCAGUGGCGAAGGCGAAUCCCUGGAAAAUACCUGACACUGAGGCACGAAAGCUAGGGGAGCAAACAGG
Molecule: ribosomal RNA, 253 nt
Filed under: uncultured bacterium
Lineage: Bacteria
Description: partial 16S ribosomal RNA
Rfam family: Bacterial small subunit ribosomal RNA
Source: RNAcentral